This 58-nucleotide transfer RNA is filed under the name Alectorobius rioplatensis. RNAcentral's name for it is "tRNA-His". Lineage: Eukaryota; Metazoa; Arthropoda; Arachnida; Ixodida; Argasidae. The record is from RNAcentral.
AUCUAAUUAGUUUAUUAAAAUAUUAAAUUGUGGAUUUAAAGAUGAUUUUCAUUAGAUA